AAUUUUUUAUGCAUGAACAUGAUGGUUCAGCCACUCUUAAAAGAAAUUAGAUUUUUUUGUCAUAUGAAUUUAAUCUUGUGAUUAAUUUUAAAUGGGAUCCUUGUCUGUUGAAAAGGGUACAUCUGACCUCAACCUAAUUGAAUGGAUCUGUGUUAACUUUUUGACGUCAAGUCUGUAUCUCUGGUACUAUUUUAAAAGCAAAAGGACAAUUAUAUUUGGUGUAUGGAACAAUUGCAUGGUGUACAUGUUGUUUGGAAGAGUUCCAUCUAGCCUUCGCCUCAUUUUUAUGGUUCAUUGGUCAAUAUUCAGUAAUACAUGUAAUUAUAAAAAACUUAAUAAGGUAGGUUUCUUUGCU
Molecule: long non-coding RNA, 355 nt
Filed under: Mytilus galloprovincialis (Mediterranean mussel)
Lineage: Eukaryota; Metazoa; Mollusca; Bivalvia; Mytilida; Mytilidae
Source: RNAcentral